UGGGGAAUAUUGGACAAUGGGGGAAACCCUGAUCCAGCCAUGCCGCGUGUGUGAAGAAGGCCUUUUGGUUGUAAAGCACUUUAAGCAGUGAAGAAGACUCCAUGGUUAAUACCCAUGGACGAUGACAUUAGCUGCAGAAUAAGCACCGGCUAACUCUGUGCCAGCAGCCGCGGUAAUACAGAGGGUGCAAGCGUUAAUCGGAAUUACUGGGCGUAAAGGGAGCGUAGGUGGCUCGAUAAGUCAGAUGUGAAAUCCCCGGGCUCAACCUGGGAACUGCAUCUGAUACUGUUGAGCUAGAGUAUGUGAGAGGAAGGUAGAAUUCCAGGUGUAGCGGUGAAAUGCGUAGAGAUCUGGAGGAAUACCGAUGGCGAAGGCAGCCUUCUGGCAUAAUACUGACACUGAGGCUCGAAAGCGUGGGUAGCAAACAGG
RNAcentral lists this ribosomal RNA (429 nucleotides) under uncultured prokaryote. RNAcentral describes it as "bacterial SSU rRNA". It matches the Rfam family "Bacterial small subunit ribosomal RNA", at positions 355 to 776 of the family's 1533-position model. RNAcentral also lists the same sequence under 1 other name. The record is from RNAcentral.